CUACGUGCCAGCAGCCGCGGUAAUACGGAAGGUCCGGGCGUUAUCCGGAUUUAUUGGGUUUAAAGGGAGCGUAGGCUGGAGAUUAAGUGUGUUGUGAAAUGUAGACGCUCAACGUCUGACUUGCAGCGCAUACUGGUUUCCUUGAGUACGCACAACGUUGGCGGAAUUCGUCGUGUAGCGGUGAAAUGCUUAGAUAUGACGAAGAACUCCGAUUGCGAAGGCAGCUGACGGGAGCGCAACUGACGCUGAAGCUCGAAGGUGCGGGUAUCGAACAGGAUUAGAUACCCUGGUAGUCCGCACAGUAAACGAUGGAUGCCCGCUGUUGGUACCUGGUAUCAGCGGCUAAGCGAAAGCAUUAAGCAUCCCACCUGGGGAGUACGCCGGCAACGGUGAAACUCAAAGGAAUUGACGGGGGCCCGCACAAGCGGAGGAACAUGUGGUUUAAUUCGAUGAUACGCGAGGAACCUUACCCGGGCUUGAAUUGCAGAGGAAUUAUUUAGAGAUA
This 505-nucleotide ribosomal RNA is filed under the name uncultured bacterium. RNAcentral's name for it is "bacterial SSU rRNA". It matches the Rfam family "Bacterial small subunit ribosomal RNA", at positions 501 to 1008 of the family's 1533-position model. The record is from RNAcentral.